RNAcentral lists this small RNA (864 nucleotides) under Pongo abelii (Sumatran orangutan). RNAcentral's name for it is "retained intron". Lineage: Eukaryota; Metazoa; Chordata; Mammalia; Primates; Hominidae. The record is from RNAcentral.
AGGAGGCUGUCCCCUACCCGAUUCCCCAUCUAGCUGUCCCUCCACGCCUUUAGGAAGGCAUGGGGUAGCCCUGAGUAUGAGGGAACACCUUGGGAGCUAACGGUCCCCAGAGGCCUCAACCUAACCAGUCUGCGGGGCAGGCUCAUUCCCACGGCCUUUCUCCCACGGGAACCACCCCUCUGCCCUGAAGUUGCCCAGGUAGGCCAGUGGAGAGGGCCUGGAACCAGGAAGACCCUUGAAUCGCCAUUUGGAACCCACACUUGGGGGAAAGGGGUGGCCGUGGCUUGGUGCCAUCAGCGUCCUGGGACCCCAGGUCUCUCUUCCCCGCAUUGUGGGCAUUCUGUGUGUGCCUCCCACCCUGCGCCGCAGAUCCCUGGACUCGUGGGGUGUGGGUGCUCCCUGCCCGUGCCCCCUGUGUACGUGGCUUUCUGCCCUCCUGCCCUUCCCCAGCUCCAGCAGUACCCGCGGCUGCGGGAGGAGAUGGAGCGCAUCGUGACCACCCACAUCCGGGAGCGCGAGGGCCGCACUAAGGAGCAGGUCAUGCUUCUCAUCGAUAUCGAGCUGGCUUAUAUGAACACCAACCAUGAGGACUUCAUAGGCUUUGCCAAUGCUCAGCAGAGGAGCAACCAGAUGAACAAGAAGAAGACUUCAGGGAACCAGGAUGAGAUUCUGGUCAUCCGCAAGGGCUGGCUGACUAUCAAUAAUAUUGGCAUCAUGAAAGGGGGCUCCAAGGAGUACUGGUUUGUGCUGACUGCUGAGAAUCUGUCCUGGUACAAGGACGAUGAGGAGAAAGAGAAGAAAUACAUGCUGUCUGUGGACAACCUCAAGCUGCGGGACGUGGAGAAGGGCUUCAUGUCGAGCAAG